CAGUAGCCGCGGUAAUACGUAGGUGGCAAGCGUUGUCCGGAAUUAUUGGGCGUAAAGGGCUCGCAGGCGGUUUCUUAAGUCUGAUGUGAAAGCCCCCGGCUCAACCGGGGAGAGUCAUUGGAAACUGGGAAACUUGAGUGCAGAAGAGGAGAGUGGAAUUCCACGUGUAGCGGUGAAAUGCGUAGAGAUGUGGAGGAACACCAGUGGCGAAGGCGACUCUCUGGUCUGUAACUGACGCUGAGGAGCGAAAGCGUGGGGAGCGAACAGGAUUAGAUACCCCUGUAGUCCCUGUCUCUUAUAC
This 301-nucleotide ribosomal RNA is filed under the name uncultured bacterium. RNAcentral's name for it is "partial 16S ribosomal RNA". It matches the Rfam family "Bacterial small subunit ribosomal RNA", at positions 509 to 807 of the family's 1533-position model. The record is from RNAcentral.